CCUACGGGGGGCAGCAGUGAGGAAUAUUGGUCAAUGGGCGCAAGCCUGAACCAGCCAUGUCGCGUGCAGGAAGACUGCCCUAUGGGUUGUAAACUGCUUUUAUAGUAGAAGAAACACAUCUACGUGUAGAUGUCUGCCAGUAUACUAUGAAUAAGCAUCGGCUAACUCCGUGCCAGCAGCCGCGGUAAUACGGAGGAUGCAAGCGUUAUCCGGAUUUAUUGGGUUUAAAGGGUGCGUAGGCGGGACUGUAAGUCAGGGGUGAAAUACUGCAGCUUAACUGUAGCAUUGCCUUUGAAACUG
This 300-nucleotide ribosomal RNA is filed under the name uncultured Marinilabiliaceae bacterium. Its description in RNAcentral is "bacterial SSU rRNA". It matches the Rfam family "Bacterial small subunit ribosomal RNA", at positions 338 to 635 of the family's 1533-position model. Lineage: Bacteria; Pseudomonadati; Bacteroidota; Bacteroidia; Marinilabiliales; Marinilabiliaceae. The record is from RNAcentral.